This 1887-nucleotide ribosomal RNA is filed under the name human gut metagenome. RNAcentral describes it as "bacterial LSU rRNA". It matches the Rfam family "Bacterial large subunit ribosomal RNA", at positions 1 to 1989 of the family's 2925-position model. The record is from RNAcentral.
UAAAGCGUAAAAGAGCGUAGAGUGAAUGCCUUGGCAUUGGGAGCCGAUGAAGGACGUGGUUAACUGCGAAAAGCUACGGGGAGUCGUAAGCAGACAUUGAUCCGUAGAUGUCCGAAUGGAGCAAUCCGCAUGGAGUUAGUCCAUGCAUCCAUAAGUGAAUUCAUAGCUUAUGGAGGGGAACCGCCUGAACUGAAACAUCUAAGUAGGGCGAGGAAGAGAAAUCAAACGAGAUUUCGUAAGUAGUGGCGAGCGAACGCGAAAGAGGCUAAACCAAGAGAAGAAAUUCUUUUGGGGUUACGGACUGCGAUAUGUAUCUGAGGACUUAGCAGAAUGGUAUGGGAAAGCCAACCAGAGAAUGUGAUAGUCAUGUAUGCGAAAAAGAAUCAGAGCUAGCAGGAUCCAAAGUACCGCGGGACACGAGGAAUCCCGUGGGAAGUCGGGGGGACCACCCUCCAAGCCUAAAUACUACCCAAUGACCGAUAGCGAAAAGUACUGUGAAGGAACGGUGAAAAGAACCCCGGGAGGGGAGUGAAAAGAACCUGAAACUCUAUGCUUACAAGCACAUAGAGCACGUCAAAGUGUGAUAUGGUACCUUUUGUAGAAUGGUCCGGCGAGUUAUUGUAUGCAGCAAGGUUAAGGUCUUCAGGACUGAAGCCGAAGCGAGAGCGAGUCUGACAAGGGCGAAAAGUUGCAUGCAAUAGACCCGAAACCGGGUGACCUAGCCAUGUUCAGGUUGAAGUGGAGGUAAAGCUCCAUGGAGGACCGAACCGACCUCCGUUGAAAAGGCGGCGGAUGAAAUGUGGCUAGCGGAGAAAUUCCAAUCGAACCCGGAAAUAGCUGGUUCUCCCCGAAAUAGCUUUAGGGCUAGCGUUGUAUUAGAUUUCUGGGGGUAAAGCACUGAAUAGGCUAGGGGCCGAGAGGUUACUGAACCUUAUCAAACUAAGAAUACCAGAAAAUUGAUGUACAGCAGUCAGACUAUGUGAGAUAAGUCUCAUAGUCAAAAGGGAAACAGCCCAGACCCACAGCUAAGGUCCCAAAACAGAUUUAAGUGGAAAAGGAUGUGGGAUUGCCCAGACAACCAGGAUGUUGGCUUAGAAGCAGCCACACAUUAAAAGAGUGCGUAAUAGCUCACUGGUCGAGUGAUCCUGCGCCGAAAAUUCAACGGGGCUAAAAUUUGUACCGAAGCUUGGGCUUGAUACUUUGUAUCAGGGGUAGGGGAGCGUCAUGUACGAGGUGAAGUCGUAGCGGAAGCGGCGGUGGAUUGUACAUGAGAGAGAAUGCCGGAAUGAGUAGCGAGAAUUAUGUGAGAAUCAUAAUGGCCGAAAAUCUAAGGUUUCCUGAGGAAGGUUCGUCCGCUCAGGGUAAGCCGGGAGCUAAGGUGAGGCGGAAACGCGUAGCCGAUGCACAUACGGUAGAGAUUCCGUAGCCUCCGAAAAGUAAAGCACAGGGACGCUUCAGAAGUGUUACGCCGGGCGAUGGUUGCCCCGGUUGUAAAGGACACAAUUGAGUGGAAGGUAACAUGGAUGGAGACAAGAAAAGCUGUGUGUAUCUGGAAGGAGCCCGUACCGCAAACCGACACAGGUAGAUAGGAAGAAGAUUCUAAGGCCAGCGGGAGAAGGGUUGUUAAGGAACUCGGCAAGUUGACCCCGUAACUUCGGGAGAAGGGGUGCUUACGAAGGUAAGCCGCAGAGAAUAGGCCCAAGCGACUGUUUAGCAAAAACACAGCUCUAUGCUAAAUCGAAAGAUGACGUAUAUGGGGUGACACCUGCCCGGUGCUGGAAGGUUAAGAGGAGAUGUGAGAGCAUUGAAUUGAAGCCCCAGUAAACGGCGGCCGUAACUAUAACGGUCCUAAGGUAGCGAAAUUCCUUGUCAGGUAAGUUCUGACCC